CGAACAUUUCCUUGACAGGCAGAAUAGUCAGAGCACUUAGAAAAAUGAAGUAGUUGGUGCACAGUGAGAUGUGGAGCAAACCAGAAGUGAUGGAAAAAGCUAUACAGGUACAGCAAGAGGCUCAAACUACAUCACCAUCACUCCAGUCUGAAGAACUGAAGCCAGAGGAAGCCUCCUUAAUGUAUCUCUGCCAUCUAUGGACUGCAGACAGGGUUGAAACAGGGACUGCAGAGAUGCCCCUGGCAGCUAUGUUGGCUGAGUAUCCAGAGUUUGCACAGUCUCUCUCCCUCACACCGCUGUCCUUUCUAUACCAGUG
Molecule: long non-coding RNA, 316 nt
Organism: Alligator sinensis (Chinese alligator)
Lineage: Eukaryota; Metazoa; Chordata; Crocodylia; Alligatoridae
Exons: 3
Source: RefSeq, a predicted model, not a curated record